This 497-nucleotide ribosomal RNA is filed under the name uncultured bacterium. Its description in RNAcentral is "partial 16S ribosomal RNA". It matches the Rfam family "Bacterial small subunit ribosomal RNA", at positions 28 to 507 of the family's 1533-position model. The record is from RNAcentral.
GAUGAACGCUGGCGGCGUGCCUAAUACAUGCAAGUCGAGCGAACGGACGAGAAGCUUGCUUCUUUGAUGUUAGCGGAGGACGUGUGUGUAACACGUGGAUAACCUACCUAUAAGACUGGGAUAACUUCGGGAAACCGGAGCUAAUACCGGAUGAUAUUUUGAAGCGCAGGGUUCAAAAGAGAGAGACGGUCUUUCGGUCACUUCUAGAUGGAUCCGCGCUGCAUUAGCUAGUUGGUCAGGUAACGGCUUACCAAGGCAACGAUGCAUAGACGACCUGCGGGGGUGAUCGCCCACCCUGGAACUGAGACACGGUCCAGACUACUACGGGAGGCAGCAGUAGGGAAUCUUCCGCAAUGGGCGAAAGCCUGACGGAGCAACGCCGCGUGAGUGAUGAAGGUCUUGGGAUCGUAAAACUCUGUUAUUAGGUAAGAGCAUAUGUGUAAGUAACUGUGCACAGCUUGACGGUACCUAAUCAGAAAGCCACGGCUAACUACGUG